Molecule: ribosomal RNA, 648 nt
Filed under: uncultured bacterium
Lineage: Bacteria
Description: bacterial SSU rRNA
Rfam family: Bacterial small subunit ribosomal RNA
Source: RNAcentral
AGAGUUUGAUCAUGGCUCAGAUUGAACGCUGGCGGUAGGCUUAACACAUGCAAGUCGUGCGAGAAAGUACCUUCGGGUGCGAGUAGAGCGGCGGACGGGUGAGUAACGCGUAGGAAUCUACCUAGUAGAAGGGGAUAGCCCGGGGAAACUCGGAUUAAUACCGUAUACCUCCUUAGGGAGAAAGAGGGCUUAGCUUUGAUGCUCUCGCUAUUAGAUGAGCCUGCGUAAGAUUAGCUUGUUGGUGAGGUAAUGGCUCACCAAGGCGACGAUCUUUAGCUGGUCUGAGAGGACGAUCAGCCACAUUGGGACUGAGACACGGCCCAGACUCCUACGGGAGGCAGCAGUGGGGAAUAUUGGACAAUGGGCGCAAGCCUGAUCCAGCCAUACCGCGUGUGUGAAGAAGGCUUUCGGGUUGUAAAGCACUUUAAGUAAGGAGGAAAAGAUUGUAGUUAAUACCUGCAAUCCGUGACGUUACUUACAGAAUAAGGACCGGCUAAUUCCGUGCCAGCAGCCGCGGUAAUACGGAAGGUCCAAGCGUUAAUCGGAAUUACUGGGCGUAAAGCGCGCGUAGGUGGUUUUUUAAGUUGGAUGUGAAAGCCCUGGGCUCAACCUAGGAACUGCAUCCAAAACUAGAUGACUAGAGUACGA